GACGAACGCUGGCGGCGUGCUUAACACAUGCAAGUCGAACGGAAAGUCGCCUUUGUGGCUACUCGAGUGGUGAACGGUUGGGUAAUACGUUUGUAACCUGCCCUUCUCUUCGGGACUACUUCAGGUAACUGAUGCUCAUUCCGGAUAGGAGUCCUUGCUGCAUGGUGGGGGCUGGCAAGCUUCGGCGGUUUUGGUUGGACUCGCGGCUUAUCAGCUUGCUGGUGGUGGCGUGGCUUACGAAGGCUUCGACGAGAAGCCGGCCUGAGAGUGCGACCGGCCACAGUGGGACUGGGACAGGGACCAGACUCAUACGGGUGGGAGAAGUGGGAAAUAGUGCACAAUGGGCAGAGGCCUGAUGCAGCAGCGCCGAGGGCGGGAGGACGGCCAUCGUGUUGUAAUCCGAUUACAGUAGGGGCGAGGCAUGUGGUGACGGUACCUGGAGAAGAAGCACCGGCUAACUACGUG
This 465-nucleotide ribosomal RNA is filed under the name uncultured bacterium. RNAcentral's name for it is "partial 16S ribosomal RNA". It matches the Rfam family "Bacterial small subunit ribosomal RNA", at positions 28 to 507 of the family's 1533-position model. The record is from RNAcentral.